Long non-coding RNA from Rhineura floridana, 3621 nucleotides. RefSeq lists it as uncharacterized. The record is from RefSeq and is a predicted model, not a curated record. The transcript has 7 exons. Lineage: Eukaryota; Metazoa; Chordata; Lepidosauria; Squamata; Rhineuridae.
CGUGCAGCGUGAGGGGCGGAGAUUACAGGACUAUUUAAGUCGAGCUGCCCCUCCUACCUUCCUCUUUUGCUGCGCAACGUCGAUGCGAGGCUCGAGGCUCUUGAAACCUGUACUGACUCUACCCAGAUAGUGAGCGAUGGACAGAUGGCUUCCCCUGCGCCAACAGCGGCGGUGGGGACUGGACGUGAGGUGGCUACACCCCAGGCUGGCAUGAUAUCAUCUCUGACUGGGCCGGUGGUGGGAACAGGCUGCCUGCUUUCAUCACUGCCUGACCAUCAGCUCCACAGCAGCAUGAAGGGAAUCUGAUACACAGCUUUUGUGUCGAAGCCUCUGUCAUAAUAAGAAUUUCUUGAAAAUUUCACGCACACCUUGUAGCCGUUCCAGAGUGGAAUAAGCCUGCCAAAUUUCAGUAGCCUCUUGUCCAGAGAACAAUCAGAUGCUGUGGCACCCCCAUUUCUUUUAAAGCAUGGAAUCCGCUCCUGAUAAACAGACACUGUCUCUGCUGUUUUUUCAUUGCCUACUGAAGACUUCAUCUUUCAACAAGCCUUUUAAGUAGAGAUCUUUCCCAGUCUGCAUCCAUAUUGAAGUCAAACAAUGCCUAGGAGAGGAAACACAAUGAUACUUACAGAGCAGUCCUAUAUACACAUACUCAAAACCCACCCUUGGCAUGUGGCCCCCCAGAAGGUUGCUCAGAAGGGAAUGCAGCACUUGGAUUGACAAUGGUUCCCUGCCCCUGGAGUACAGGCUUGAGCAGAAUGAAGUGUGCGAUUUCUGCGCACCCUUUCCGACCAUGCAAAAUGAGGUCAUCGUGUGUGUGAGAAGGUCUACCGCUGAGGACUUGUGCCAGGAAACAAACUGCUGCCAAGUGACUUUUUCCAAGGAGAUUCCAGGGCUUCCAGGAACAGGGUUGUAAAGGGCAGCAAGCUGCUGAAACACCUGUCUCAGGAACAGGCAAAGAAACCAUGGCCGCAUUUCUUGUUAAUCCGCAUUUCUUGUUAAUUUCUUGUUAAAAGAGUCAAAAGAAAGAAACUUCAGCAUUCAGUCUGUUAUUUAAAAAAAUGUGUGUGUGUGUGGGCUAUGUGCAAGGGUAUGCAUCCCAAUCCCACCCCAAUGUCUCCAUGGACACACUUCACUCUCCUGCUUGCCCUUCUCCAUUCCCAACCUUUGACACAUUGAGUUCAAAGAUCUGGAGGGGCAUUCCUGCUGUAUUCAGCUGAAACCACUUAGAAUCCUCCCUUUGAUAAGAAACUAAUCAUGUUCAGUUGCAGAGGGACAUGGCCAGCUUAGACAGGGACAUUGGGGGCAAUGCAUGCUGCUCCCCUGUGCCCACAGAUAGUUAGGGCCCUCUGCCAUUCUUUUGACUGCCUGAACAGUGCUUUCCUUAGAUGUUUAUCCAUUCUUUCUGUUCCAGUGACUGCAGUCAGCAUGUGAUAAAGCAAUCACAUAUGGCUAGAAAACCAGAGCGAGUCAAUAUUUACUAAGAUGAAAAGGUGCUUGUUGUGCUUCUCAAACUCCUUGUUUGGGUCAGCCACAAGUAACAAUUAGAGAGCUCUAUUUUGCUUACAUCAGGCAGGCAAAAUGUCCUGCCUUAACUGGGCCUUCCUAUGUAAAGGAAGUUGCUCACUCAUUCUUUCCCCAGUGUUUGCCACUGCUGCUGCACAAGCUGUUUGGGGCUUCAUAGAUUUAAUAGAGACAGCUUGAACUGUAUUCAGGCUGUACAGAUUUAGGAUCAAUACAUUGCUACUGGCUGACCCCUCUUUGUAGGUCUUUCUUUUGUACGUCUCCUUUCUUGAGCAGUCAACAGAGUGGUCUCAAAGACACAAGCAGAGAGGACAAGAAAUGCUGGCAAAAUGACGAUUGUUCUCAACAUCUGCUUCUCUCCAAAGAGAGUUUAGCCAAAAUUACAACACAGGCACUCUAUGGAUAUGCUGAUUUUUCUAUUCAGGUGUAGUGUUUUUUUUAAGUUAAAAAAAUUAAAUGCAAAAACAAUUGUAAAUCACUAUUUAAACAUGAUAAAAACAACAAGAAUGGAAGAAGCUGAGAACAGAAAAUGUCUUGGAACAUCAGCUAAUUCCAGUGGCACAUUAUUUUUGCUAGACAAUGCAACAGGCUGUGCUAAGUAAUCUUAGCAUGCAUGUAGCAGCUCUUAUUGAUAAUAGUGGCAUAAUAAUUCCUUCACAGCUGGCAAAGCACUGGAUAUUUGUUUCUCUGAGAUAAAGUGUACCCUGCUGACAAAAACCUUAGGUGUUCAUAAUGAUACAUCCCUUAAGUUUCAGUUGCCUUAUACAGGUAGUUUCAGUUAAAUGAUGAAUUCUGUUACAUGCUAUGAGAGCAAAUCACAUAAAAGCUAAUUUACAGCUUCUCUUCCUUAAUAGCUGGGUACUGGAAACUGUGGCAUAUUGCCAUGAAAAUUUAAUAGCUGUUGGGUUGCAUCCAAAUUUAGCUGUGCUUAGAGUAGAUCCAUUUCAAUCAAUAGGAUGCAUGUUAGUUAAUCCCCAUUUAUUUCAAUGGGUCUACUCUAUGCUUGAUUAAAGUGGCAAUCCUAACCAUGUCUGUUAAGAGAUAGGUCCCAUUUAUUUCAGUGGGCUUUCUCCCAGGUAAGUGGGGUUAGAAUUACAGCCUAAGUUUGGAUCCAGUCCAUUAACUUUAAUAUUAUGGGUCAGAUUCUGUUAUCGUUGUAGAACAAUCCCACACUUUUGCCCUAAAGUCACACUGAACUGAUGUGCUUUUUUAAAAAAGUCUCAACCAUGCACACAGUUUCUUACUCUGCAUGCACAAAAGGUUUAUUUUGUGCUUCAAAGUCUAAAAAUUCAGCACUUGGCAUAAAUUAUGCAAAUCACUGCAAUGUAUGGCAGUUUUACUUAUUUUGCUAACAGUAUGCUUUGUUUGAAUGACGUUUGAAUAACUGCAUAACCAUUUUUCAUUUUUAGUUUUCUAAAUCAGCUGUGCAAUGAGCAAAAGAGAAAUGUAAGUAGGGCAGGGGGCAUAAACUGCAAUGCCACAGGAGUUCCCAAAAGUGGCAAAAUGUGAUGUCGCUCCCAGAACCUCAGCUUUCAUUUUCUUUAAAAAGAGCACGUUUCUAGCUCUUAUUUUUGAGAUGUGUUUGACAAUGUGUGAGAGAAGAAUGAAUGCAGAAAUCUUAGAGAUCACUAAGGUUGCUGAACAAAGUUCCCAAUGGUCAGGCGGGCAUUAAUGCCCUGUAUAACUCCUUGUCUGUGGCCCUCUGGCCAUGACUAAGCAAAGCCAACAUGUCAUCCCUAUGUUUCUGUUUUUAUUUCACUGAUAUGACUACACACUUUCUCCCUUGCUGCCUCUUAUACCUGGAAUUCCCAUGUGAGACCCCUUCACAUUCUUCUUUCAAAUCUCUCCUCAAAACAUUUUCCUUUAAAACAGCCCCAUAGCCCCAAUACCCUACUGUAACAAAACCAGCAUAUGUGUCACUGAAAUAGUAAUAUAUUCUUCCCCUGCUAACCUUUGCCUGUUUUCCUCAUCUUCCUCUGUUUUUCCUCUUGUAACUAUUUAGACUGUAAAAUAGACUGUAAGACCUUUGGGGCAGGGACCUGUCAAACCUGUUCUUUGUAAUGCACCAUAUACAUAAAUGUAUAUUAAUCUUAUUGUUUA